RNAcentral lists this ribosomal RNA (253 nucleotides) under uncultured bacterium. RNAcentral describes it as "partial 16S ribosomal RNA". It matches the Rfam family "Bacterial small subunit ribosomal RNA", at positions 524 to 776 of the family's 1533-position model. The record is from RNAcentral.
UACGAAGGGUGCGAGCGUUGUUCGGAAUUAUUGGGCGUAAAGCGCACGUAGGCGGGCGCAUAAGUCGGAUGUGAAAUCCCUGGGCUUAACCUAGGAAUUGCAUCCGAAACUGUGUGUCUUGAAUGCUUGAGAGGAUGACGGAAUUCCUGGUGUAGAAGUGAAAUUCGUAGAUAUCAGGAGGAACACCGGAGGCGAAGGCGGUUGUCUGGCGAUGCAUUGACGCUGAGGUGCGAAAGCGUGGGGAGCAAACAGG